This 540-nucleotide ribosomal RNA is filed under the name proteobacterium MS-B-84. RNAcentral describes it as "bacterial SSU rRNA". It matches the Rfam family "Bacterial small subunit ribosomal RNA", at positions 150 to 725 of the family's 1533-position model. Lineage: Bacteria; Pseudomonadati; Pseudomonadota. The record is from RNAcentral.
UUGGAAACGACUGCUAAUACCCCAUAUGCCGAGAGGUGAAAUGAAAUUCGCCUGAGGAUGAGCUCGCGUCUGAUUAGCUAGUUGGUGGGGUAAGGGCCUACCAAGGCAUCGAUCAGUAGCUGGUCUGAGAGGAUGAUCAGCCACACUGGGACUGAGAUACGGCCCAGACUCCUACGGGAGGCAGCAGUGGGGAAUCUUGCACAAUGGGCGAAAGCCUGAUGCAGCGAUGCCGCGUGAGUGAAGAAGGCCUUUGGGUUGUAAAGCUCUUUUGUCGGGAAAGAUAAUGACUGUACCCGAAGAAUAAGGUCCGGCUAACUUCGUGCCAGCAGCCGCGGUAAUACGAAGGGACCUAGCGUAGUUCGGAAUUACUGGGCGUAAAGAGUAUGUAGGCGGCUAGAUAAGUUAAUUGUGAAAGCCCAAAGCUUAACUUUGGAAUUGCAAUUAAAACUAUUUAGCUAGAGUAUGAUAGAGGAAAGCGGAAUACAUAGUGUAGAGGUGAAAUUCGUAGAUAUUAUGUAGAACACCAGUUGCGAAGGCGGC